Long non-coding RNA from Schistocerca serialis cubense, 973 nucleotides. RefSeq lists it as uncharacterized. The transcript has 3 exons. The record is from RefSeq and is a predicted model, not a curated record. NCBI's taxonomy places the organism in Eukaryota, Metazoa, Arthropoda, Insecta, Orthoptera, Acrididae.
UGCGCCCUUGAGACGGAGCUGGAGGUCCGGCCUCGAAGCAGUAUCUCUACAGUUAUGGCGAAGGAGUGGAAUAAUGACCACAUAAAAAAAACUUAUUGAACUGUACCGCGAAAGACUUUGUUUAUGGAAAAUCAACCAUGAACAUUACCCCAACAAAAACAUAAAAAAUAGAGCGUACGCAGAGAUUCUUGAAAAACUUUUAGACGAUGUUCCAACUGUGGACCAGACUACAAUAAAAAUGAAGACACAAAAUUUGAGAUGCACCUACAGAAUGGAGCCAAGGAAGGUGAAGGCCUCUGAAAGAAGCGGAAAAGGGAAAGAUGAAUGGUAUGAACCAUCAUUAUGUUUUUCAGAGAACCACAGACGAAGAAGAAGCAAACUAGAGAGACAGUGAAAGACUUGGUCAUGUUCAUGAAAAUAUGCACUGCAGCCCUCAACAUUCAGCCGACAAUUGCGGACGACUGUGCUGCACUUGGGAACUAUGUUUCGGUAAAAUUGCGUAAAAUGGACGAAACGCUGCAAAUCCUUGCUGAGGCGGUAAUACAAAAGGUCGUAACUCGGGGAAAGAAGAAUCAACUCACAGAUAGCCGGCCAGUGUGGCCGAGCGGUUCUAGGCGCUUCAGUCUGGAACCGCGCGACCGCUGCGUCGCAGGUUCGAAUCUUGCCUUGGGCAUGGAUGUGUGUAAUGUCCUUCGGUUAGUUAGGUUUAAGUAGUUCUAAGUUCUAGGGGACUGAUGACCUCAGAUGUUAAGUCCCAUAGGGCUCAGAGCCAUUUGAACCAUUUUGAACUCACAGAUAACACAGAUCUGUACGAAUCAACAGCCCCACAAGUGUUUGCGUUUCCUUACAUCCCGACUACUCACAAUUCAUCCAGUGCAUCUUAUGGUUCAUCCCAUACCGCACAACUGACUUCUUCGUCAAAAGAUAGCUACUAUAGUUUUGGGUAUCAGUGAAAAAGUUUAGUUAUUAUUCC